Molecule: ribosomal RNA, 399 nt
Filed under: Pseudomonas sp. AE_70_2
Lineage: Bacteria; Pseudomonadati; Pseudomonadota; Gammaproteobacteria; Pseudomonadales; Pseudomonadaceae
Description: bacterial SSU rRNA
Rfam family: Bacterial small subunit ribosomal RNA
Source: RNAcentral
CUGGCUCAGAUUGAACGCUGGCGGCAGGCCUAACACAUGCAAGUCGAGCGGAUGACGGGAGCUUGCUCCUUGAUUCAGCGGCGGACGGGUGAGUAAUGCCUAGGAAUCUGCCUGGUAGUGGGGGACAACGUUUCGAAAGGAACGCUAAUACCGCAUACGUCCUACGGGAGAAAGCAGGGGACCUUCGGGCCUUGCGCUAUCAGAUGAGCCUAGGUCGGAUUAGCUAGUUGGUGGGGUAAUGGCUCACCAAGGCGACGAUCCGUAACUGGUCUGAGAGGAUGAUCAGUCACACUGGAACUGAGACACGGUCCAGACUCCUACGGGAGGCAGCAGUGGGGAAUAUUGGACAAUGGGCGAAAGCCUGAUCCAGCCAUGCCGCGUGUGUGAAGAAGGUCUUCG